CCCCCAAACCCACCUUUCGCUUCCUACCUCUCCCUCCCCCUAUAUUUUGCUCUUGCUCCCACACCUCUGUCUCCUAACCACCGUAGAUCUAAUGCUCUCGCAUCCAAUGCCAGCCUCCUCCUCCAUCCCCGGGCUUCGGCACCUCACUGCCCGCCUAUCUCCACCAACUACUUGUGGGCUUCCACCAACCUGAGCAUCCCUCUAAAGCCGCCCUCACUUCCCCCUAUUCCCCCUCCCACCGCCUCCAACCCCAAAACCAUAACCCAUAGGUUUUCUACC
This 279-nucleotide long non-coding RNA is filed under the name Oryza brachyantha (malo sina). RNAcentral describes it as "long non-coding RNA (OBRA_LNC003328)". Lineage: Eukaryota; Viridiplantae; Streptophyta; Magnoliopsida; Poales; Poaceae. The record is from RNAcentral.